CCUACGGGCGGCAGCAGUAGGGAAUUUUCGGCAAUGGGGGGAACCCUGACCGAGCAACGCCGCGUGAACGAAGAAGUUAUUCGUAAUGUAAAGUUCUUUUAACAGGGAAGAAAGAGAAAUUUGACGGUACCUGACGAAUACGCUCCGGCUAACUACGUGCCAGCAGCCGCGGUAAUACGUAGGGAGCGAGCGGUAUCCGGAAUUAUUGGGCGUAAAGGGUGCGUAGAUGGCAUAGUAAGUCUUGUGUAAAAAAGCUGGGCUAAACCCAUGAGGGCAAAAGAUACUGCAAAGCUAGAGUAUGACAGAGGUGAGUGUAACUACAUGUGUAGCGGUAAAAUGCGUAAAUAUAUGUAAGAACACCAGUGGCGAAGGCGGCUUGCUGGGUCGAUACUGACAUUGAGGCACGAAAGCGUGGGGAGCAAACAGGAUUAGAUACCCGGGUAGUC
RNAcentral lists this ribosomal RNA (446 nucleotides) under uncultured bacterium. Its description in RNAcentral is "partial 16S ribosomal RNA". It matches the Rfam family "Bacterial small subunit ribosomal RNA", at positions 338 to 795 of the family's 1533-position model. The record is from RNAcentral.